AUACGGAGGAUCCGAGCGUUAUCCGGAUUUAUUGGGUUUAAAGGGUGCGUAGGUGGUUUGAUAAGUCAGCGGUGAAAGUUUGCAGCUUAACUGUAAAAAUGCCGUUGAAACUGUCGGACUUGAGUGUAAAUGAGGUAGGCGGAAUGCGUGGUGUAGCGGUGAAAUGCAUAGAUAUCACGCAGAACCCCGAUCGCGAAGGCAGCCUGCCAGGCCGUGACUGACACUGAUGCACGAAAGCGUGGGUAUC
RNAcentral lists this ribosomal RNA (247 nucleotides) under uncultured bacterium. RNAcentral describes it as "partial 16S ribosomal RNA". It matches the Rfam family "Bacterial small subunit ribosomal RNA", at positions 523 to 769 of the family's 1533-position model. The record is from RNAcentral.